AAUGCCUACAUUUUAGUCACAUGGUGAUGAAAGUCAAAUGACAGAUAUAAGUAACUGCCGUCAUGACCAUAUCUUUGAACUGGCAUAUUUGAUUGCUCAGCUAAGAUGAUUGACACCUCAAUUUUAAUGAUUCAUUGAAAUUAAAUUAUUAAAUCUUUUUUUCUUGUUUUGUACAGUGGAAUGGCAUCUUCAAAAGAGAACUUUGAUAACUCAGUUUGUCCUGAGUCUUCAAAUCAACCAAUGAAAAGACGUCAUACUGAGUCAGGAGCUUCCUCUGACAACAACAGCGAACAAGUUAAGUACAAAGGGAACAAGAAAAAACGCAAUUCAGAAGUGGAGAACAAUUUUGUCUCCCAUCCAGAAGAGAGUAUGCACAGUGAAGCAGACUCAGAAAAAUCUAUUUUUCCAUUGGGAACCGUGAUAAAGAAAAACAUUUCAGACUGGACGGCCAUAGACCUAUCACCUUUCAGAAUGAACUUUGAAAAAUGUGCAAAUAUAGAAAAUGUGUUCUUCAAUGGGCUUUCACAUUUUGCAAUGAAAAAGGAAUGGUCUCCUAGAAUUUUGAAAUUAGGCUUCCGUAGCCCUGAAGACCAAGUAAAAUGUGAAUGUUUUCAAUAUGCAAUUGAUAAUAUCAUUAACAUUGACUGUAAUAACAUUGAAGAAAUUGAAUUCAGUGACCUUUCAAAAAUAAGGCAUACAAUUGAGGACGCUCAUUGGAUUGCCGACUAUGUAGG
RNAcentral lists this long non-coding RNA (734 nucleotides) under Mytilus galloprovincialis (Mediterranean mussel). Lineage: Eukaryota; Metazoa; Mollusca; Bivalvia; Mytilida; Mytilidae. The record is from RNAcentral.